Molecule: RNase P RNA, 437 nt
Filed under: Actinomycetota bacterium
Lineage: Bacteria; Bacillati; Actinomycetota
Description: RNase P RNA component class A
Rfam family: Bacterial RNase P class A
About the family: Ribonuclease P (RNase P) is a ubiquitous endoribonuclease, found in archaea, bacteria and eukarya as well as chloroplasts and mitochondria.
Source: RNAcentral
CGGGCCGUCCGACCCGUCGCUGCGCCGCCCGGCGGAGCUAGGCCGUUCGCCGGCAGCGCAGAGCAAAGUCCGGACUCGCGAGGGCCGGGGACUCCCUGGUCCGAAAAGGCCGCUCGGGCUAACAAUCCGAGGGGCGGUGUGGCGCAAGCCCGCCGCUACGUCAAGUGCAACAGAGAGCAGACCAGCCGAUGGCUAGACGGAUACGCCUCAUCGGGACGUGUCCUACGGUACAGGUGAUGGGUGAAAGGGUGGGGUAAGAGCCCACCGGCGGUACCCCGCGAGGGACCGGCCAGGUAAACCACCGGUGCGAGCAAGCCAAAUUGUCUGGGAUUCCCAGACUGGUAGGCGCGGCUCCUUUAAGAGGAGCCCGGGAGGAGAGUCUCCCGGAGAUGGAUGGCGGGAUAGAGCAGAAUCCGGCUUACGGGACGGCCCGAACC